AUUUCAUGGCAUUUUACUGAUGUUAUAGACUGGAGGUGGGGUGAGAAGGAUGGAGUCUUUCAAAGCAGUGUGCCUAGGACACUUCUUUCUCUGGACUACAGACUCCUGUGAAGUGCUUCCACUGACAUUCUGGCAAAGGCUGGAACAAGAAAAGGAAAUCUCCCCAGAGUUCGACCUGUAGGAUCAAACUCAUCAGCCCCCAAGUAAGAGAAACCUACUUACCCAUAAACAUGAUGGCUGCAA
This 243-nucleotide long non-coding RNA is filed under the name Chrysolophus pictus (golden pheasant). Its description in RNAcentral is "lncRNA (ENSCPIG00010010767.1)". The record is from RNAcentral. Lineage: Eukaryota; Metazoa; Chordata; Aves; Galliformes; Phasianidae.